AGAACGAACGCUGGCGGCAUGCCUAAUACAUGCAAGUCGAACGAACACUUCGGUGUUAGUGGCGCACGGGUGCGUAACGCGUGGGAAUCUGCCCUUGGGUUCGGAAUAACAGUUGGAAACGACUGCUAAUACCGGAUGAUGACGAAAGUCCAAAGAUUUAUCGCCAAGGGAUGAGCCCGCGUAGGAUUAGCUAGUUGGUGAGGUAAAGGCUCACCAAGGCAACGAUCCUUAGCUGGUCUGAGAGGAUGAUCAGCCACACUGGGACUGAGACACGGCCCAGACU
RNAcentral lists this ribosomal RNA (283 nucleotides) under uncultured soil bacterium. RNAcentral describes it as "partial 16S ribosomal RNA". It matches the Rfam family "Bacterial small subunit ribosomal RNA", at positions 26 to 337 of the family's 1533-position model. The record is from RNAcentral.